UACAAAGUAGUAUAUUAAGUACAAAGGGUUUUGAACUCUUAGGAAACAAAUAGGAUUUGUUUUUUGUA
RNAcentral lists this transfer RNA (68 nucleotides) under Limnoperna fortunei. RNAcentral's name for it is "tRNA-Gln". The record is from RNAcentral. Lineage: Eukaryota; Metazoa; Mollusca; Bivalvia; Mytilida; Modiolidae.